Aphis gossypii (cotton aphid) is the source of this 195-nucleotide long non-coding RNA. RefSeq lists it as uncharacterized. The transcript has 5 exons. The record is from RefSeq and is a predicted model, not a curated record. NCBI's taxonomy places the organism in Eukaryota, Metazoa, Arthropoda, Insecta, Hemiptera, Aphididae.
UACGUAUAUUAAUUAAUAUAAAAUAAGACAAUUUUUGUUACUUGUUUACAAUUUAGUUUGUUUCAAUGAAGCAAAUCAAAAGGAGGAAAAAGAAAAACCUGGAAAUCGUCCUUACAAAACAUUCAAUAGAGAUUUCAAUUCAAUCAAAGCGAAUGGUUUUAAAUUUGAACCUUUAAGUUGGUGUGCAACAAAAAG